CCUCGGCGGGGCCGGACGCGAAGGGCUCGGGCUCGGGCGCGGGGUCGGGCGCAGCCUCCCCGCCGCCCCCGGUGCUGGGCCGGGGAUGGGGAACGUGGAGAGCGCGGACGGGGAGGCGCUGCCCCGGGGCCCCGGCGGCGGCUCCCCGCUGGGCGGGCCCGGGAUGCUGCCCCCGGGCAAGACGCCGAUGCCGGAGCCCGGCGAGCUGGAGGAGCGCUUCGCCCUGGUGCUGAGCUCCAUGAACCUGCCCCCGGACAAGGCACGGCUCCUGCGGCAGUACGACAACGAGAAGAAAUGGGACCUCAUCUGCGACCAGGAGAGGUUCCAGGUGAAGAACCCGCCACACACCUACAUCCAGAAGCUGCAGAGCUUCCUGGACCCUGGAGUCACGCGCAAGAAGUUUCGGCGGAGGGUGCAGGAGUCGACCAAGGUGCUGCGGGAGCUGGAGAUUAGCCUGAGGACCAACCACAUCGGGUGGGUGCGGGAGUUCCUGAACGACGAGAACAAGGGUCUGGACGUGCUGGUGGAUUACCUCUCCUUCGCCCAGUGCACCGUCAUGUUGGACUUUGAGGGGCUGGACAGCGGCGAGGACGGCGCGCUGGAGAAGCUGAAGUCCUGGAGCAGGUCCAUCGAGGACCUGCAGCACCCGUCCGCGCCCUUUGCCAACAGCCUCGCGCGCUCAGCCCGCCAGUCUGCCCUGCGCUACAGCACCCUGCCCAGCCGCAAGGCCCUGAAGAACUCGCGGCUGGUGAGCCAGAAGGACGACGUGCAUGUCUGCAUCAUGUGCCUCCGCGCCAUCAUGAACUACCAGUACGGCUUCAACCUGGUGAUGUCUCACCCGCACGCCGUGAACGAGAUAGCCCUCAGCCUCAACAACAAGAACCCCAGGACCAAGGCGCUGGUGCUGGAGCUGCUGGCAGCCGUGUGCCUGGUGCGGGGGGGGCACGAGAUCAUCCUCGCCGCCUUUGACAACUUCAAGGAGGUCUGCAAGGAAAAGCACCGGUUUGAGAAGCUGAUGGAGUACUUCCGCCAGGAGGACAGCAGCAUCGACUUCAUGGUGGCUUGCAUGCAGUUCAUCAACAUCGUGGUGCACUCGGUGGAGGACAUGAACUUCCGCGUGCACUUGCAGUACGAGUUCACCAAGCUGGGCCUCGAGGACUUCCUGCAGAAAUCACGGCACACGGAGAGCGAGAAGCUGCUGGUGCAGAUCCAGGCCUACCUGGACAACGUCUUUGAUGUGGGGGGGCUGCUGGAGGACGCCGAGACCAAGAAUGUGGCGCUGGAGAAGGUGGAGGAGCUGGAGGAGCAUCUGUCCCACGUGACAGAGAAGCUGCUGGACCUGGAGAACGAGAACAUGAUGCGGGUGGCGGAGCUGGAGAAGCAGCUGCUGCAGCGGGAGAAGGAGCUGGAGAUGGUCAAGGAGACGUAUGAGAGCACGAGCCGGCAGGUGCGGACAUUGCGCCGCAUGGUGAAGGAGAAGGACGAAGCCCUGGGGCGCCAGCGCAGCGGUGCUGGGCCCCCCCUACCUGGCGAGCUAGGGGGGGGCCCUCUCCCGCCUCCACCGCCCGACGGGGAGCCCGACACCUUUGAGGACAACCUCGGCCUCCCGGCCCUGCCUCCCAUGGAGGCUGUGCCCCCGCCCCCUCCCCCACCGCCCCCCCUGCCCCCGCCUGCCCCCCCGCUGCCAGGAAAGUGCCCACCGGCGCCACCACUACCUGGCGCCUUGCCCUCCAUCGCCCUCACCGUCGGGUUGUCCGCCAUCCGGAUCAAGAAGCCGAUCAAGACCAAGUUCCGGCUGCCCGUUUUCAACUGGACGGCGCUGAAGCCCAACCAGAUCAGCGGCACCGUCUUCAGCGAGCUGGACGACGAGCGCGUCCUGGAGGACCUGGACCUGGAGCGGUUCGAGGAGCUAUUCAAGACGAAGGCGCAGGGCCCCGCGCUGGACGUGCUCUGCGCCAAGGGCAAGGCCACGCACCGGGCAGCUGCCAAGGUGACAUUGCUGGAGGCCAACCGGGCCAAGAACCUGGCCAUCACCCUGCGCAAGGCAGGGCGCAGCGCCGAGGAGAUCUGCCGAGCCAUUCUCACGUUCGACCUGCAGGCACUGCCGGUGGACCUGGUGGAGUGCCUGCUGCGCUUCCUGCCCACCGAGGCGGAGGCCAAGCUGCUGCGGCAGUACGAGCGCGAGCGCAAGGCGCUGGAUGAGCUGGCGGAUGAGGACCGCUUCAUGCUGCACUUCAGCAAGGUGGAGCGGCUGCCCCAGCGCAUGGCCGCCAUGGCCUUCCUGGGCAAUUUCACCGACAGCCUCCAGAUGCUCACGCCGCAACUCAACGCCAUCAUUGCCGCCUCUGCCUCGGUGAAGUCCUCGCAGAAGCUGAAGCAGAUGCUGGAGAUCAUCCUGGCGCUGGGGAACUACAUGAACAGCAGCAAGCGCGGCGCUGUCUACGGCUUCAAGCUGCAGAGCCUGGACCUGCUGCUGGACACUAAGUCAACGGACCGGAAGAUGACGCUGCUGCACUUCAUCGCACUGACCGUGAGGGAGAAGUACCCCGACCUGGCCACGUUCUGGCAGGAGCUGCACUUUGUGGAGAAGGCGGCCGCAGUGUCCCUGGAGAACGUGCUGCUUGAUGUGAAGGAGCUAGGCCGGGGCAUGGAGCUGAUCCGGCGCGAGUGCAGCCUGCAUGAGAGCGCCGUCCUGCGCAGCUUCCUCAGCGCCAGCGAGGGCCGGCUGGAGCAGCUGCAGCGCGACUCCCGCACGGCUGAGGACGCCUACAACACGGUCGUGCGCUACUUUGGCGAGAGCCCUAAGACGAUGCCCCCGUCCGUCUUCUUCCCCAUCUUCGUGCGCUUCAUCCGGUCCUACAAGGAUGCGGAGCAGGAGCACGAGCUGCGGAAGAAGCAGGAGGAGGUGAUGCGGGAGAAGAUGCUGGCGCAGGAGGCCAAGAAGCUGGAGAAGCGCAACAAGUGGCAGCAGCAGGAGCUGAUUGCGGAGCUGCGCCGGCGCCAAGCCAAGGAGCAUCGUCCUGUCUACGAGGGCAAGGACGGUGCCAUCGAGGACAUCAUCACCGCGCUGAAGAGCGUCCCCUUCACGGCCCGCACCGCCAAGCGGGGCUCACGCUUCUUCUGCGACCCGGCCCACCACGACGAGUCUAACUGUUAGCCCCCGACCCCCAGCCGUGAGGAGCAUCCGCCUCUAGCUCCCGGCUGGGCAAAGGACAGACCUGCUCCUGGACUCUGCAGGGACGUGCCCAGGGGGGCUGUGACCCGGGGCCUGCUUGCGGCCGCCGGACGUGCCUUGCAGCCCCUGAACUGCCUUGUGCCAAGUACCUGCGCCAGCGCUGGGCGCCCUACGACCCUGUGCUCCCUGGUCCGGCCCACAAUUGCACUUUGAUGCUCGGGGGGGGGGGGGGGGGGGGGGGGGGGAAGAUGGAGCCCCAUUGUCCCGUGCCACGAACCUCACGGGCAGCCCCAGCUGCCCUAGGCCUGCUCCAUCGCCCGGGUGGGGGCUGCCGGCUGCAGGGAGGGUGAGUGGGGGGCUGUAGGCCAGGCGCAUUGUGCAGCUGGGGGUCCAGGAGGGCCCAUUGGCCCCAAGUCCCGGCUCCGGGGGACAAACACUACGGGUGAGCGGCGGCAGCCCCAGGGACCAGGCCAGCCCCCAGCACCAACACUACGUAACAAGGGACCAAGGCUGCAGUGUUGGCCACGUGGGGGGGUGGGGGAGCUGGGCAGCAGGAUCAUUUUUUACACUACCUGCCCAUCCAGUCCCCCCCUCUCCAGUCCAGACCCAUGUCUCCAUCCCCUCCUGUCACCAUCAGCUGAAGUUGGGGUGGGGGGGAACUUUUUGUACAUGUAAAAUAUACUGAUAAAUGUAUCUA
Alligator mississippiensis (American alligator) is the source of this 3872-nucleotide RNA transcript. It is a transcript of the gene named formin like 3, with no coding region annotated. The transcript has 28 exons. The record is from RefSeq and is a predicted model, not a curated record. Lineage: Eukaryota; Metazoa; Chordata; Crocodylia; Alligatoridae.